Molecule: ribosomal RNA, 292 nt
Filed under: uncultured bacterium
Lineage: Bacteria
Description: partial 16S ribosomal RNA
Source: RNAcentral
GGACUACCAGGGUUUCUAAUCCUGUUUGCUCCCCUAGCUUUCGCAGCUCAGCGUCAGUAAUGUGCCAGGUGCCUGCUUUCGCCAUAGGUGUUCCUCCCGAUCUCUACGCAUUUCACCGCUACACCGGGAAUUCCAGCACCCUCUCACACACUCAAGCCCGGCAGUAUCUAUUGACCCCUUCCAGUUAAGCCGGAAGAUUUCACAAUAGACUCACCGAACCGCCUACCUGCCCUUUACGCCUAGUAAUUCCGAGUAACGCUAGCCACCUUCGUCUUACCGCGGCUGCUGGCAC